RNAcentral lists this long non-coding RNA (1755 nucleotides) under Homo sapiens (human). Its description in RNAcentral is "PREDICTED lncRNA (TCONS_00203165)". The record is from RNAcentral. Lineage: Eukaryota; Metazoa; Chordata; Mammalia; Primates; Hominidae.
AGAUGGGAGAGAGUUUCCUGUGGGCAAACUUUAGGUUGUAAAUUGACUCUUGUCUCUAGAGACAAUCUUCUGGUGGGAGAGAUUUCCAGCUCUGGGGCUUCUAGAUGCCCUGGAAUACACUUGUGUCAGUGACAAAUGCUGCUUUGCUGUGCUACACCGAGUACAAGGUCGUGUCCAGUGAUUCAAGUUUGACACACCACACCACGGUGGAUGUGCCUUUCAUGACGCAUCUUCUCAGCAGCACUAGAAGAUACAUCCAAAGUCCUGUGAGCAAGGUCUGUGGUAUCUGUUUAUUAUGGCAGCCCAGUGAGACUAAGACAGGCCAUCAAAAGACGUGAACGUUUUGGACCUUCUCUUGGGCCCUAGUAAACAGAAAUCAGGCUACUUAUUAAACUAAACCACGUUCUGAACUGUUACUGCUACUGGAAACCAGUCCCGAUCCAGACCCCAAAAGAGGAUUCUUGGAUCUUGCACAAGAAAGAAAGGAGAGGGACCUGUAGUCAUUACCUUCAAGGAACCUAAAUCCUGGUGUCUUUAUGGUUAUGGGUGGCAUAUAAUAUACAGACACAGUGAAGGAGUGAGAUGUGAAGGUGCUCUGUCAUUGCCUCAGUCAAGACUUUCAUGGUACAUUGGAAGAAAGAGAAGCGUGAACAAAUUGCAUGAUACUUGAGGUCAUGCUGUGUACCUGUAUUGAACAAGAAUAAGGGAAGAAAGCUGGGAACCUGGAUCUCCCAUAUAUUGGAAGUUUUGUAAAAACCUUGAGGGUCCCUUCCACUACAUAUGGGGAUUAUGGGAACUGCAAUUCAAGAUGAGAUUUGAGUGAGGACACAGCCAAACCACAUGGUUUUAGAACAUUGACGAAGAGAGAAGACAACCCACUUUGCCAUAUAUGCCCAUGGUCUUACCAAGGCUAGAGUACAGUGGCACAGUCAUAGCUCACUGCAGCCUUAAACUCCCAGACUCAGGCAAUGGAUCCGAUCCUCCCACCUCAGCCAGCCUCCCAAGUAGCUGAGACUACAGGAGUGGCUGCAUAUGUGUCCCGUUUGUGCGUAUCUGCAUAUAAGAGAAGUUGAGAAAGGGCACAAGAAUGAGGUGACUGCGUGGACAUAGAGCGUAUUAUGAAAGACAAACUCUCCCACAUCCCUCCCAGCAGCGGCUCCAGAAUUUCUUCUUCUCCCCUGAAAACUAACAAGAGAGACUGCCACCAGAUUACUCUUAUCUCAGCACCCAGCUUUGCUUAUUGUUUAUCAGUCACUGAGAAUGUGUGAGGCUCUGAGCUAAUAACUUUUAGAUACAUCUUCUUAUUUAGCCUUUAGAGAAAUGCUGUGAGAUAAGUACUGUGUUAUUGGCCCCAUUUUAAAAUUAAUGGGAUAGAAACCCUGCAGGGCAACUCACCCUGGGUCAGCAGCUGGCAUAGAGCUGAGCCCGGGUCUGAGCUGAACUCAGUUUGCCCACAGACCCUCCGCACCACCGCACUAUUAGGUCCCCUUUAUCUGGCCCACUAUUUCAUGGUCACGUGCAUCAUUUCUGUGCUUUGCCACAUUGUUUUAAUUUCUUUAACUCACAGUAUUAUUUCUGUGAGAUAUUUCAGAGGCAAGAAUUCCUCCAUAGUAGGAAUUGUGUCUACUUAGUAGGCUGUGUCUACUUAGCUCGCAUUUCUCAGUGUUUGUCAGUUUCUCUGCAGUGACAGGUCCCCUAAAAUGGGUUACAUCACAAAAAUGAUUUCGGAGCCACAAUUUAAAAAUAAAAAUGAAA